This 253-nucleotide ribosomal RNA is filed under the name uncultured bacterium. RNAcentral's name for it is "partial 16S ribosomal RNA". It matches the Rfam family "Bacterial small subunit ribosomal RNA", at positions 524 to 776 of the family's 1533-position model. The record is from RNAcentral.
UACAGAGGAUGCAAGCGUUAUCCGGAAUGAUUGGGCGUAAAGCGUCUGUAGGUGGCUUUUUAAGUCCGCCGUCAAAUCCCAGGGCUCAACUCUGGACAGGCGGUGGAAACUACCAAGCUGGAGUACGGUAGGGGCAGAGGGAAUUUCCGGUGGAGCGGUGAAAUGCGUAGAGAUCGGAAAGAACACCGGUGGCGAAGGCGGUCUGCUGGGCAGUUGCUGACACUGAGGCGCGACAGCGUGGGGAGCAAACAGG